CUGGACCAGCCAUGCCGCGUGCAGGGAAGACGGCCCUAUGGGUUGUAAACUGCUUUUAUACGGGAAUAAACCUCUUUACGUGUAGAGAGUUGAAUGUACUGUAAGAAUAAGGAUCGGCUAACUCCGUGCCAGCAGCCGCGGUAAUACGGAGGAUCCAAGCGUUAUCCGGAUUUAUUGGGUUUAAAGGGUGCGUAGGUGGUUCUUUAAGUCAGGGGUGAAAGACGGCAGCUUAACUGUCGCAGUGCCUUUGAUACUGAAGAACUUGAAUACACUAGAGGUAGGCGGAAUGUGACAAGUAGCGGUGAAAUGCAUAGAUAUGUCACAGAACACCAAUUGCGAAGGCAGCUUACUAUGGUGUCAUUGACACUGAGGCACGAAAGCGUGGGGAUCAAACAGGAUUAGAUACCCUGGUAGUCCACGCCCUAAACGAUGAAUACUCGAUGUUGGCGAUAUACAGUCAGCGUCUAAGCGAAAGCGUUAAGUAUUCCACCUGGGGAGUACGCCCGCAAGGGUGAAACUCAAAGGAAUUGACGGGGGCCCGCACA
This 545-nucleotide ribosomal RNA is filed under the name uncultured bacterium. RNAcentral's name for it is "bacterial SSU rRNA". It matches the Rfam family "Bacterial small subunit ribosomal RNA", at positions 383 to 927 of the family's 1533-position model. The record is from RNAcentral.